Molecule: ribosomal RNA, 492 nt
Filed under: uncultured bacterium
Lineage: Bacteria
Description: partial 16S ribosomal RNA
Rfam family: Bacterial small subunit ribosomal RNA
Source: RNAcentral
AGUGAACGCUGGCGGUAGGCCUAACACAUGCAAGUCGAACGGCAGCACAGUAAGAGCUUGCUCUUACGGGUGGCGAGUGGCGGACGGGUGAGGAAUACAUCGGAAUCUACUUUUUCGUGGGGGAUAACGUAGGGAAACUUACGCUAAUACCGCAUACGACCUACGGGUGAAAGCAGGGGAUCUUCGGACCUUGCGCGAUUAAAUGAGCCGAUGUCGGAUUAGCUAGUUGGCGGGGUAAGGGCCCACCAAGGCGACGAUCCGUAGCUGGUCUGAGAGGAUGAUCAGCCACACUGGAACUGAGACACGGUCCAGACUCCUACGGGAGGCAGCAGUGGGGAAUAUUGGACAAUGGGCGCAAGCCUGAUCCAGCCAUACCGCGUGGGUGAAGAAGGCCUUCGGGUUGUAAAGCCCUUUUGUUGGGAAAGAAAAGCAGCAGGUUAAUACCCCGCUGUUCUGACGGUACCCAAAGAAUAAGCACCGGCUAACUUCGUG